AGCCAUUGAAAUUCAACGGCUAGUUUCUUUUACUAGUUUAAGAAAGUUACAGCUGGUGUUUUUCUUUCUUUUGUCUUGUUAAUUGGACUGAGCCUUCCCAUCUUCUUCCAAGUGGAUGGAUGAUAUCCUCCAAUAACCAUUUAUGGUCGGAGAGGAGUUCUAGGUUCCUAGAUGUAGGAUCUGAUUUUAGACUGGCUGUAAAAAGAUAUAGUCUUUUGUAAUUUGUCUUUUGAGAUAUAUGAAAAAUACAUCGACUCUUGCUCUUCCCUCUCUCUCUUGAAAGAAACAAAUUUCUUCAAACCCUUGCUCAAAGUUUCAAUCCUUUUUAUCAACCUAAUCGAUAUGCCUGGUACCAUUUCAAACAGUAUCCAAUUAGUUUACGUCGGAGACCAUUCUUCAAAUACUGGAGUUAUUUUCAAUUUACAUUAUUAUUUUUUAUCUUUGUUGCUAUAUCCCAGUUCAUUUUCUGUGCAAGUAAACAAAAGCUAUCCAUGCCAUGAUUUCACGUUGUGUUUCACUUUUCUACCUUGUGCUUGGAAAUUUGCCACUUCCAUUCUUGCACGCUUCAUUUUACUCAAAAGAAAACAGAAGGACUCACUCACGGCAGCGAGAAGAAAUUCUGCAGCUUGUUAUUCAUUUUAAAUGAGCUAGAGAGCAACUAGUUCUAGACAGAUUAUAACCUACAUAGACAUCACGUUGUGUUUCACUUUUCUACCUUGUGCUUGGAAAUUUGCCACUUCCAUUCUUGCACGCUUCAUUUUACUCAAAAGAAAACAGAAGGACUCACUCACGGCAGCGAGAAGAAAUUCUGCAGCUUGUUAUUCAUUUUAAAUGAGCUAGAGAGCAACUAGUUCUAGACAGAUUAUAACCUACAUAGACAUCACGUUGUGUUGCACUUUGCCUUCUUCUUGGAAUCAAAUUUAUGAUUGGCAACCACUUUUCAGGUUGAAACCUUGUCUAUAAGAAGUGACUCUGGAGAUGAAAUAGCAUCUUACACUCAGGAGGAAAGCUGCAGAUACAUGGAAGUCUCACGCAACAAGGACAAAUUAGAAAUCCAAUCUGAGCUGAAACGUGUCAUUUUCUGAAAUCAGGUGAUUUACAUAAAGAAAACGAGGGCAUGAUAAUGACGAUCACUGAAGACGUUGAGAGGAAGGCUUUGCAAGCUAAGCUGGACAAAAUGGCUACGGACCUUGAGGAGGUGAGGUUACUUAAUAGCCACUUUCAAGAGGAUCAGCUGUUACAGUUGUCUCACCAGAAACAAACCGAAACAGUCUGCGAACAGGUUGAGAUGGAGACAGCGAGAACAAUUCUUCGUUUAAGAGGUUGCUGCCCUUCAGUUUGAACUUGAUGAGAACAAUUCUACCAUUAGUGCAAAGGGAACCAGUUUUUUGUUGCUAUAUUUCUUGUGAAUCCGUUUGAUCAUCAUCGUAUUAUUACUACUAUGCUCUGCGUACUCAAUUUUUUUGUCGGUUUUGGGACAUAUGCUUAAUGUAUUCUGCUGCUUACAGGUCAGAGACAAAAUUGGAGAUUUCAUAAAGGGCGUAUUUUCUAAAUUCCAGGAUUUGGAUUUUAGUUUCCUGGAAAUGAACCCAUUUACCUUGGUUGAUGGUGAACCUUAUCCGUAGAUAUGAGGGGGGAGCUGGAUGACACUGCUGCCUUCAAGAACUUCAAUAAAUGGGGCAGUGUGGAGUUUCCACUGCCUUUCGGCAGAGUCUUAAGUCCUACAGAAACGUUUAUUCAUUCUCUGGAUGAAAGGACAAGCGCGUCCUUAAAAUUCACUGUGUUGAACCCAAAAGGACGCAUCUGGACCAUGGUAGCUGGAGGGGGUGCAAGUGUAAUUUACGCUGAUACUGUGAGUGGCCUGAUGUAUUGCAACGAUAUAGCUAUACUGUCCCUGUAGCAGCCCUUUCAAAAUUUUGGGUCUCCAUUUUUUGCUUUAAUUCAUCGUUUCUGAUUGAAUGUGCACCCAUUGCUAUUUCUCCCCUCUGUUUCUUUGAACGUUGGGUACCUUUAAAUUCAUACCAUGGCCUGUUGUAAUAUUCUGGCAUCUUUAUAACUUUUUUUAUUGAAAGCGGAUUAAAACUUGAGUAGAA
Malus domestica (apple) is the source of this 2093-nucleotide non-coding RNA. The record is from RefSeq and is a predicted model, not a curated record. NCBI's taxonomy places the organism in Eukaryota, Viridiplantae, Streptophyta, Magnoliopsida, Rosales, Rosaceae.